GCUCAGAUUGAACGCUAGCAGGGGAUGCCUUACACAUGCAAGUCGAACGGCAGCACGGACUUCGGUCUGGUGGCGAGUGGCGAACGGGUGAGUAAUGUAUCGGAACGUGCCUAGUAGCGGGGGAUAACUACGCGAAAGCGUAGCUAAUACCGCAUACGCCCUACGGGAAAGCAGGGGAUCGCCAGACCUUGCACUAUUAGAGCGGCCGAUAUACGGAUUAGCUAGUUGGUGGGGUAACGGCUCACCAAGGCGACGAUCCGUAGCUGGUUUGAGAGGACGACCAGCCACACUGGGACUGAGACACGGCCCAGACUCCUACGGGAGGCAGCAGUGGGGAAUUUUUGGACAAUGGGGGAAACCCUGAUCCAGCCAUCCCGCGUGUGCGAUGAAGGCCUUCGGGUUGUAAAGCACUUUUGGCAGGAAAGAAACGUCAUGGGUUAAUACCCCGUGAAACUGACGGUACCUGCAGAAUAAGCACCGGCUAACUACGUGCCAGCAGCCGCGGUAAUACGUAGGGUGCAAGCGUUAAUCGGAAUUACUGGGCGUAAAGCGUGCGCAGGCGGUUCGGAAAGAAAGAUGUGAAAUCCCAGAGCUUAACUUUGGAACUGCAUUUUUAACUACCGGGCUAGAGUGUGUCAGAGGGAGGUGGAAUUCCGCGUGUAGCAGUGAAUGCGUAGAUAUGCGGGAGGAACACCGAUGGCAAAGGCAGCCUCCUGGGAUAACACUGACGCUCAUGCACGAAAGCGUGGGGAGCAAACAGGAUUAUAUACCCUGGUAGUCCACGCCCUAAACGAUGUCAACUAGCUGUUGGGGAAUUCGGGCCUUAGUAGCGCAGCUAACGCGUGAAGUUGACCGCCUGGGGAGUACGGUCGCAAGAUUAAAACUCAAAGGAAUUGACGGGGACCCGCACAAGCGGUGGAUGAUCGUGGAUUAAUUCGAUGCAACGCGAAAAACCUUACCUACCCUUGACAUGUCUGGAAUUCCGAAGAGAUUUGGAAUGCUCGCAAGAGAACCGGAACACAGGUGCUGCAUGGCUGUCGUCAGCUGUGUCGUGCGAUGUUGGGUUAAGUCCCGCAACGAGCGAAACCCUUGUCAUUAGUUGCUACGAAAGGGCACUCAAUCAGACUGCCGGUGACAAACCGGAGGAAGGUGGGAUGACGUCAAGUCCUCAUGGCCCUUAUGGGUAGGGCUUCACACAGUCAUACAAUGGUCGGGACAGAGGGUCACCCAACCCACAGAGGGAGCCAAUCCCAGAAACCCGAUACGUAGUCCGGAAUCGCAGUCUGCAACUCGACUGCGUGAAGUCGGAAUCGCUAGUAAUCGCGGAUCAGCAUGUCGCGGUGAAUACGUUCCCGGGUCUUGUACACAGGCCGCCCGUCACACCAUGGGAGUGGGUUUUACCAGAAGUACGUUAGCCUAAGCCGUAAGGGGGCGAUUACCACGGUAGGAUUCAUGACUG
RNAcentral lists this ribosomal RNA (1459 nucleotides) under Achromobacter xylosoxidans. RNAcentral describes it as "16S ribosomal RNA". It matches the Rfam family "Bacterial small subunit ribosomal RNA". Lineage: Bacteria; Pseudomonadati; Pseudomonadota; Betaproteobacteria; Burkholderiales; Alcaligenaceae. The record is from RNAcentral.